RNAcentral lists this ribosomal RNA (464 nucleotides) under uncultured bacterium. RNAcentral describes it as "partial 16S ribosomal RNA". It matches the Rfam family "Bacterial small subunit ribosomal RNA", at positions 30 to 507 of the family's 1533-position model. The record is from RNAcentral.
UGAACGCUGGCGGCGUGCUUACCACAUGCAAGUCGAACGGAAAGGCUCCUGCUUGCAGGGGUACUCGAGUGGCGAACGGGUGAGUAACACGUGGGUGAUCUGCCCUGCACUUCGGGAUAAGCCUGGGAAACUGGGUCUAAUACCGGAUAGGACGAUGGUUUGGAUGCCAUUGUGGAAAGUUUUUUCGGUGUGGGAUGAGCUCGCGGCCUAUCAGCUUGUUGGUGGGGUAAUGGCCUACCAAGGCGUCGACGGGUAGCCGGCCUGAGAGGGUGUACGGCCACAUUGGGACUGAGAUACGGCCCAGACUCCUACGGGAGGCAGCAGUGGGGAAUAUUGCACAAUGGGCGCAAGCCUGAUGCAGCGACGCCGCGUGGGGGAUGACGGCCUUCGGGUUGUAAACUCCUUUCGCUAGGGACGAAGCGCAAGUGACGGUACCUGGAGAAGAAGCACCGGCUAACUACGUG